This 424-nucleotide ribosomal RNA is filed under the name uncultured bacterium. RNAcentral's name for it is "bacterial SSU rRNA". It matches the Rfam family "Bacterial small subunit ribosomal RNA", at positions 355 to 796 of the family's 1533-position model. The record is from RNAcentral.
UGGGGAAUAUUGGACAAUGGGGGAAACCCUGAUCCAGCCAUGCCGCGUGAGUGAUGAAGGCCUUCGGGUUGUAAAACUCUUUCGACCACGACGAUAAUGACGGUACCCCGAGAAGAAGCUCCGGCUAACUUCGUGCCAGCAGCCGCGGUAAUACGAAGGGGGCUAGCGUUGUUCGGAAUUACUGGGCGUAAAGCGCGCGCAGGCGGCCUUUCAAGUCAGGGGUGAAAGCCCGGAGCUCAACUCCGGAAUUGCCUUUGAAACUGUCAGGCUCGAGUACGGGAGAGGUGAGUGGAAUUCCCAGUGUAGAGGUGAAAUUCGUAGAUAUUGGGAAGAACACCGGUGGCGAAGGCGGCUCACUGGCCCGUUUCUGACGCUCAGGCGCGACAGCGUGGGGAUCAAACAGGAUUAGAUACCCCCGUAGUCC